RNAcentral lists this long non-coding RNA (427 nucleotides) under Homo sapiens (human). RNAcentral's name for it is "non-protein coding lnc-HLF-1:1". The record is from RNAcentral. Lineage: Eukaryota; Metazoa; Chordata; Mammalia; Primates; Hominidae.
GCUUAUCCUGUUAUCCUCUUGAGCAUCUAUCAGGAUUAAAACUGGAGAGGUGGGGAGAGUUUGCAAAUUAGAGACUUUUUAGAAGAGAGAGCAGUGUGCGUGCUUCAUCUCAUCUAUCCCCUCUACCACCACCCCACCAACACACGGAGGACACGCAUGAACCCUAAGGAAGAGUGUAGGAUGCUUGCUUCUCAAGUCAAGUGAAAGUAGCUCCACUGGGGCCACUCAGAAAACUGGUUGUGUGUGUCCUGAGCUGGGGACACCGUGGUGUAGAAUCUGAUUCAUGCCUGAGGCAUCUACAGGACAGAAGCCACAGCAGCCUCCAGCAGAGAGUAGAUGCGGUGGUUGGGAAGAAACUGCCCCCCAUCGACAGCAGAUCUAAGAAAUCUGUUUUUCCUGGGACCAGAACAUGAACCCAGUGAACGUG